This 730-nucleotide ribosomal RNA is filed under the name uncultured bacterium. RNAcentral describes it as "bacterial SSU rRNA". It matches the Rfam family "Bacterial small subunit ribosomal RNA", at positions 90 to 798 of the family's 1533-position model. The record is from RNAcentral.
GUAAAGUGGCGCACGGGUGAGUAACACGUGGAUAAUCUUCCCUCGAGCGGGGGAUAACAUUCCGAAAGGAGUGCUAAUACCGCAUAAGACCACGUCCUCGAAAGAGGAUGAGGUAAAAGCCGGCCUCUAUACAUAAGCUGGCACUUGAGGAUGAGUCCGCGGCCCAUCAGGUAGUUGGCAGGGUAAUGGCCUACCAAGCCUAAGACGGGUAGCUGGUCUGAGAGGAUGAUCAGCCACACUGGAACUGACACACGGUCCAGACUCCUACGGGAGGCAGCAGUGGGGAAUCUUGCGCAAUGGACGAAAGUCUGACGCAGCGACGCCGCGUGGGUGAUGAAGGCCUUCGGGUUGUAAAGCUCUGUGGGGCGGGACGAAUAUGUGGAGGCUAAUACCCUCCAUGAUGACGGUACCGCCUUAGCAAGCACCGGCUAACUCUGUGCCAGCAGCCGCGGUAAGACAGAGGGUGCAAACGUUGUUCGGAAUUACUGGGCGUAAAGCGUGUGUAGGCGGUCGAGUAAGUUGGAUGUGAAAGCCCCAGGCUUAACCUGGGAAGUGCACCCAAAACUGCGCGACUUGAGUAUCGGAGAGGUUGGUGGAAUUCUCGGUGUAGAGGUGAAAUUCGUAGAUAUCGAGAGGAACACCGGUGGCGAAGGCGGCCAACUGGACGAAUACUGACGCUGAGACACGAAAGCGUGGGGAGCAAACAGGAUUAGAUACCCUGGUAGUCCAC